UUUUAAUAAUUAAUUUAUUUAUUCUUAUUUAAUUUUAUUUAUUUAUUAGAAUUAUCUUUUUGUUUAGUAAGUUUUAUUGAAUAAUUUAGGUUUUAAUUAUAGUUUAUUAGUACUGUAAAGGAAUAUUAAUUAUUUUUUAAAAGCAUUCUUUAUUUGUUGUACCUUUUGUAUCAGGGUUUAUUAAAUUUGUAAUAUUUAAUUAUAUUAUUCCCGAAGUUUUGAGAUUUAAUUUUAAAUGGAAUAUUAUGUUUCAUAAUAAUUUUUAAUUUAAAGUUGGAAGUUAUAUGCUAUUCAUUCAUUAGAUAUCUGGUUUCUUAAUAAAUAAAUUUAAUUUAGGUUUAUUUUGGUUCAUUCUAUUUUUAUUUUUAUCUAAUUAAAAUAAGCUUAGUUUGUUGGGGAUUAGCUCAACUUACAUUUUAUAACUCUUGAUUUAUUUAUAAAUAUUUUAGUAGGCUUGAUAACAGCCAUUCUUAAUUCGUUAUAGUUUUUAUUUAUUAAUUUUUAAUUUAGUAUGUGUUUAAUUUAUUAUUAGGAUUUAGUUUUUAAUUUUGUUGACUAGUAAUUAUGAUGGGAUUAGUAGUUUUUUUUAUUUAAAUAUAGUAAUUCAGCAAAUUUUAUCUUCGCCUGUUUAACAAAAACAUGGCCUAUAGAUUUAUUAAUUUUAGGUCUGACCUGCCCAAUGAUGGAAAGUUUAAUGGCCGCAGUAUUUUAACUGUGCAAAGGUAGCAUAAUCAUUUGUCUCUUAAUUGGAGGCUUGUAUGAAAGGUUGGACGAGAGAUAUUCUUUCUUUAUUUAAUAUAAAUUAAUUUGAUUUUUCAGUUAAAAAGCUGAGAUCUUUUUGUGGGACGAGAAGACCCUAUAGAAUUUUAUUAUUUAUUCUUAUUUAUUUUAUUUUUGUUUUUAAUAUAUUACUUAAUUAUUAAUAAUUUGGUUGGGGUGAUUGUGAGAUUAAAUUAACUCUUAUUUACUUUUUGUCAUUAAUUAGUGUUUAUUUGAUCCUUUGUUAUGGAUUUCAAGAUUAAAUUACCUUAGGGAUAACAGCGUAAUUCUUUUGGAGAGUUCUUAUUAAUAAAAGGGUUUGCGACCUCGAUGUUGGAUUAAAGUAAGUACUUAGUGCAGUAGCUUUGUAACUGGGUCUGUUCGACCUUUAAUUCUUUACAUGAUCUGAGUUCAAAUCGGCGUGAGCCAGAUUGGUUUCUAUCUUCAAAUUUAUUUAAUUACUUUAGUACGAAAGGACCAAGUAUGUUGUAAUAUUUAUUUUUAUUUUGAUUAAUUUUA
RNAcentral lists this ribosomal RNA (1278 nucleotides) under Neolethaeus assamensis. Its description in RNAcentral is "16S ribosomal RNA". The stretch from base 1034 to 1192 matches the Rfam family "Archaeal large subunit ribosomal RNA", at positions 2544 to 2703 of the family's 2987-position model. The record is from RNAcentral. Lineage: Eukaryota; Metazoa; Arthropoda; Insecta; Hemiptera; Rhyparochromidae.